Molecule: ribosomal RNA, 497 nt
Filed under: uncultured bacterium
Lineage: Bacteria
Description: partial 16S ribosomal RNA
Rfam family: Bacterial small subunit ribosomal RNA
Source: RNAcentral
GAUGAACGCUGGCGGCGUGCCUAAUACAUGCAAGUCGAGCGAACAGACGAGGAGCUUGCUCCUCUGACGUUAGCGGCGGACGGGUGAGUAACACGUGGAUAACCUACCUAUAAGACUGGGAUACCUUCGGGAAACCGGAGCUAAUACCGGAUAAUAUAUUUAACCGCAUGGUUCAAUAGUGAAAGACGGUUUUGCUGUCACUUAUAGAUGGAUCCGCGCCGCAUUAGCUAGUUGGUAAGGUAACGGCUUACCAAGGCAACGAUGCGUAGCCGACCUGAGAGGGUGAUCGGCCACACUGGAACUGAGACACGGUCCAGACUCCUACGGGAGGCAGCAGUAGGGAAUCUUCCGCAAUGGGCGAAAGCCUGACGGAGCAACGCCGCGUGAGUGAUGAAGGUCUUCGGAUCGUAAAACUCUGUUAUUAGGGAAGAACAAAUGUGUAAGUAACUAUGCACGUCUUGACGGUACCUAAUCAGAAAGCCACGGCUAACUACGUG